GGAGACGCCGCAGCGCUUUUGCGUGCUUUCGUCCUCCGUCGCCGACCACAAAGUAUUCUCCAACUCUCGACUGCUUUUAUCCCGUACGCCUGACGUUAGCUGCGUUGCUACUCGCCCGUUCGCCGCUGAACCCGUUAAAAGUCAGUUCCUGGAAUUCCUGCGGUCCGGCGCAGCGGAUCUCGGCGGUUGCGUGGAACCGUAUCAGACGGCGGCCAAACGCCGGUGCACGAAUAAUCAAAUUAGCGUUCAAUUUGGAGUCGUCGCUGAAACUAACAAGAAGAGAACACGCAGAGGGCAGCUCCACACAUCGACAGUAUCAAUCAAAAUCUCUCCCGAUUAAUUGCCUGGAAAACAAAACAAAAAAUGUUAAAGAUGUUGAUCAAUCCCAGAUUAUCUUUUGAAAUAAAAACCUUUUUUUUUCA
Molecule: long non-coding RNA, 422 nt
Organism: Syngnathoides biaculeatus (alligator pipefish)
Lineage: Eukaryota; Metazoa; Chordata; Actinopteri; Syngnathiformes; Syngnathidae
Exons: 2
Source: RefSeq, a predicted model, not a curated record